This 466-nucleotide ribosomal RNA is filed under the name uncultured bacterium. RNAcentral's name for it is "partial 16S ribosomal RNA". It matches the Rfam family "Bacterial small subunit ribosomal RNA", at positions 355 to 813 of the family's 1533-position model. The record is from RNAcentral.
UAGGGAAUCUUCCACAAUGGACGCAAGUCUGAUGGAGCAACGCCGCGUGAGUGAAGAAGGCUUUCGGGUCGUAAAACUCUGUUAUUGAAGAAGAACGUGUGUGACAGUAACUGGUCAUGCAGUGACGGUAUUCAAUCAGAAAGUCACGGCUAACUACGUGCCAGCAGCCGCGGUAAUACGUAGGUGGCAAGCGUUGUCCGGAUUUAUUGGGCGUAAAGCGAGUGCAGGCGGUCUUUUAAGUCUGAUGUGAAAGCCUUCGGCUUAACCGAAGAAGGGCAUCGGAAACUGGGAGACUUGAGUGCAGAAGAGGAGAGUGGAACUCCAUGUGUAGCGGUGAAAUGCGUAGAUAUAUGGAAGAACACCAGUGGCGAAGGCGGCUCUCUGGUCUGUAACUGACGCUGAGGCUCGAAAGCGUGGGUAGCAAACAGGAUUAGAUACCCUGGUAGUCCACGCCGUAAACGAUGAA